UGCAACGCGAAGAACCUUACCUGGUCUUGACAUCCCGGAGACCCUUAGGAAACUAGGGGGUGCUUCCAUCUGGAAGAAUCUGGAGACAGGUGCUGCAUGGCUGUCGUCAGCUCGUGUCGUGAGAUGUUGGGUUAAGUCCCGCAACGAGCGCAACCCUUGCCUUUAGUUGCCAGCAGUUCGGCUGGGCACUCUAAAGGGACUGCCGGUGUUAAACGAGGAAGGUGGGGAUGACGUCAAGUCCUCAUGGCCUUUAUGACCAGGGCUACACACGUACUACAAUGGCCGAUACAAAGGGCAGCGACACUGCGAGGUGAAGCCAAUCCCGUAAAAUCGGUCUCAGUCCGAAUUGGAGUCUGCAACUCGACUCCAUGAAGUUGGAAUCGCUAGUAAUCGUGGAUCAGCAUGCCACGGUGAAUACGUUCCCGGGCCUU
RNAcentral lists this ribosomal RNA (431 nucleotides) under uncultured Desulfobulbus sp. RNAcentral's name for it is "bacterial SSU rRNA". It matches the Rfam family "Bacterial small subunit ribosomal RNA", at positions 955 to 1382 of the family's 1533-position model. The record is from RNAcentral. Lineage: Bacteria; Pseudomonadati; Thermodesulfobacteriota; Desulfobulbia; Desulfobulbales; Desulfobulbaceae.